This 220-nucleotide long non-coding RNA is filed under the name Nicotiana benthamiana. Its description in RNAcentral is "long non-coding RNA (NBEN_LNC007690)". The record is from RNAcentral. Lineage: Eukaryota; Viridiplantae; Streptophyta; Magnoliopsida; Solanales; Solanaceae.
UUAUAAUUUAACAUAAUUUGUGUAGACUGAACAACUGAAAGAAAUAUGUAUAUAGCUUCCACUCGGCAUAUACAACUCAUAAUAAGUGCGGAAGUCAAAAAAUCUCAACCCAAAACCCAGAAACUCACGGGAACCACAGGCUAACAAAAGCAUAGUACGCUGCUCUAACUCCAGAAUAUCUAAACAACUGAGAGAAAAGGGAUAAACUGAAUACUAAAGC